UGGUAAAAUGAAGAAUUUAAAGAGGA
This 26-nucleotide non-coding RNA is filed under the name Cricetulus griseus (Chinese hamster). Lineage: Eukaryota; Metazoa; Chordata; Mammalia; Rodentia; Cricetidae. The record is from RNAcentral.